Molecule: transfer RNA, 99 nt
Filed under: Pseudocercospora eumusae
Lineage: Eukaryota; Fungi; Ascomycota; Dothideomycetes; Mycosphaerellales; Mycosphaerellaceae
Description: Mycosphaerella eumusae tRNA
Rfam family: tRNA
About the family: Transfer RNA (tRNA) molecules are approximately 80 nucleotides in length. Their secondary structure includes four short double-helical elements and three loops (D, anti-codon, and T loops). Further hydrogen bonds mediate the characteristic L-shaped molecular structure. tRNAs have two regions of fundamental functional importance: the anti-codon, which is responsible for specific mRNA codon recognition, and the 3' end, to which the tRNAs corresponding amino acid is attached (by aminoacyl-tRNA synthetases). tRNAs cope with the degeneracy of the genetic code in two manners: having more than one tRNA (with a specific anti-codon) for a particular amino acid; and 'wobble' base-pairing, i.e. permitting non-standard base-pairing at the 3rd anti-codon position.
Source: Rfam by way of RNAcentral
GGCGUUGUAGCAAAGUGGUUACUGCGAUUGACUAGAAUCACCUCAUGGCAUUGCUAUCAAUUCCCUUCGGGGGCGUAGGUUCGAAUCCUGCCAACGUCG